GCAGUCGAACGAUGACCACCUUCGGGUGGGGAUUAGUGGCGAACGGGUGAGUAACACGUGGGUAAUCUGCCCUGCACUCUGGGACAAGCCCUGGAAACGGGGUCUAAUACCGGAUACUGAGCCUCGCAGGCAUCUGCGGGGUUCGAAAGCUCCGGCGGUGCAGGAUGAGCCCGCGGCCUAUCAGCUUGUUGGUGAGGUAACGGCUCACCAAGGCGACGACGGGUAGCCGGCCUGAGAGGGCGACCGGCCACACUGGGACUGAGACACGGCCCAGACUCCUACGGGAGGCAGCAGUGGGGAAUAUUGCACAAUGGGCGAAAGCCUGAUGCAGCGACGCCGCGUGAGGGAUGACGGCCUUCGGGUUGUAAACCUCUUUCAGCAGGGAAGAAGCGAAAGUGACGGUACCUGCAGAAGAAGCGCCGGCUAACUACGUGCCAGCAGCCGCGGUAAUACGUAGGGCGCGAGCGUUGUCCGGAAUUAUUGGGCGUAAAGAGCUCGUAGGCGGCUUGUCGCGUCGGUUGUGAAAGCCCGGGGCUUAACCCCGGGUCUGCAGUCGAUACGGGCAGGCUAGAGUUCGGUAGGGGAGAUCGGAAUUCCUGGUGUAGCGGUGAAAUGCGCAGAUAUCAGGAGGAACACCGGUGGCGAAGGCGGAUCUCUGGGCCGAUACUGACGCUGAGGAGCGAAAGCGUGGGGAGCGAACAGGAUUAGAUACCCUGGUAGUCCACGCCGUAAACGGUGGGCACUAGGUGUGGGCGACAUUCCACGUCGUCCGUGCCGCAGCUAACGCAUUAAGUGCCCCGCCUGGGGAGUACGGCCGCAAGGCUAAAACUCAAAGGAAUUGACGGGGGCCCUCACAAGCCGGCGGAUCAUGUGGCUUAAUUCGACGCAACGCCAAGCAACCUUACCAAAGCGUUGACAUACACCGGAAAAGCACUCGAACAUCGGGGCCCCCUUGUGGGCCG
Molecule: ribosomal RNA, 962 nt
Filed under: Streptomyces sp. BEE12L4
Lineage: Bacteria; Bacillati; Actinomycetota; Actinomycetes; Kitasatosporales; Streptomycetaceae
Description: bacterial SSU rRNA
Rfam family: Bacterial small subunit ribosomal RNA
Source: RNAcentral